RNAcentral lists this ribosomal RNA (254 nucleotides) under uncultured bacterium. RNAcentral's name for it is "partial 16S ribosomal RNA". It matches the Rfam family "Bacterial small subunit ribosomal RNA", at positions 524 to 776 of the family's 1533-position model. The record is from RNAcentral.
UACGUAGGGGGCGAGCGUUGUCCGAAGUUACUGGGCGUAAAGCGCGCGUAGGCGGCUUUUUAAGUUUGAGGUGAAAGGUUCAGCGCUCAACGUGAACAGUGCCUUGAAUACUGGGAAGCUUGAAUGUGACAGAGGGUCGUGGAAUUCCGAGUGUAGAGGUGAAAUUCGUAGAUAUUCGGAGGAACACCAGUGGCGAAGGCGGCUCACUGGUCCAUUACUGACGCUGAGGUGCGAAAGCGUGGGGAGCAAACAGG